Molecule: long non-coding RNA, 1363 nt
Organism: Helianthus annuus (common sunflower)
Lineage: Eukaryota; Viridiplantae; Streptophyta; Magnoliopsida; Asterales; Asteraceae
Exons: 5
Source: RefSeq, a predicted model, not a curated record
CCAAAGUUUCAAAAUUCAAAUAAUCGCGAUAUCUCAAAUCUCUCUUUUUCUCUGGAUCUUGAGCCCUACGCUCCUCCAUAUCUCCAAUAUCCUCCAUCCGUUCCCCUUCCCCAUGCGCACAAAGAUGAAAUCAGAUGAUGAACAACCAGAGAUGAAGAACAAAGAUCGAUGAAACUGAAAACACGCAGUCAUGAACACCGUUUUGAAGAAACCCUAACUCACACACUCUCUCUCUAAAACUCACACAAUAUUUCAACCUCUGCGGUACUUCAAUUCUCAUUCGCGUUCAUCCAAUUUCAUCUACAGUAAGUUAUCUGAUUUAAAGUGGGGAAGUGGUUGAGAUGGUAAUAAGGAAAAAAUGGCUGUCGAGAUUAUGCAAUUCUUGUUAGCUGCUCAACCAGCUGAUACAAAGGUUCGAACUGACGCAGAGGGCAAGCUUUGACAAUUCCAACUCCAAGAGCAAAACUUUCCUGGAUUUCUUCUCUCUUUAUCACUUGAGCUCUCAAAUGAUGGGAAGCCUUUGGAGUCUCGUAGAUUGGCUGGUAUUGUGCUUAAGAACUCAUUGGAUGCUGAAGACGCUACCACAAAGGAACACUUGGUGCAACAGUGGAUGUCAAAUGACGCGUCUUUCAGAUCCCAAGUCAAAGGCCUGCUGUUAAAUACUCUCGGUUCAUCUGUUCUCGAAGCUGGUCACACUGCUGCUCAACUCAUCGCCAAAAUCGCUUCGAUAGAAAUUCCAAGAAAAGAAUGGCCUGAACUUAUCGCUUCUUUGCUUGGAAACAUGAUCCAACAAGAUAAGCCGGCAUCAUUGAAACAAGCAACUUUAGAGGCACUUGGGUAUGUAUGUGAAGAGAUAUCCCACAACGAUCUUGUGCAAGAUGAGGUUAAUUCUGUCCUCACUGCUGUGGUGCAAGGACAUUUGGAAGAUCUGAUCAGCCCCACACACAUUUUCUUUAUGUCUUUCUUCGGCUCAAUGUUCAGACAGCUCUUCGUCUGCCAGACUUGAUUCCUUUAACCGUUUGAAUUGAUCUGCAGUCAUUGAAUGGAGUUAAUAAGGUUGUGUUUGUAAAUCAGAAGUUGAGAGUUUGAACAAAAGGCAUUGUAAGGAUGCUUGAAAAGGCAAGUUCCAAGAGGUAGUGAGCUGGUGAUGGUAUUCCGGAUGCGGGAUGACACGACUGGGGUUUUGGUAAUAGCUGCGACAUUAGACGAUUGGCUAAAGUAUAUUUUAAUGCAUUUAAAUUUCUAAAUAUAUUUAUAAUUGUAUUCAAUGCAUUAAAUACUUGUAAGACCCAACCCAGUUUAUUCUGCCUUGCACUGAUAAAGUGCUUGUUUUAAGCUGAACCGGUUUUGAUAUUUAUUGGUA